AGAUCGGCUCCGUGUAGUUGCCAGACCCCCGACCCGGCAACUGCACGGAGCCUUUUG
This is a small RNA of Nocardia cyriacigeorgica, 57 nucleotides long. It matches the Rfam family "F6 TB sRNA". The record is from Rfam. Lineage: Bacteria; Bacillati; Actinomycetota; Actinomycetes; Mycobacteriales; Nocardiaceae.